GCAAACUUGGUCAUUUAGAGGAAGUAAAAGUCGUAACAAGGUCUCCGUUGGUGAACCAGCGGAGGGAUCAUUACAGAGUUAUCCAACUCCCAAACCCAUGUGAACUUAUCUCUUUGUUGCCUCGGCGCAAGCUACCCGGGACCUACCCGAGAGGCCCGCCGGCGGACAAACCAAACUCAUGUUAUCUUAGUUGAUUAUCUGAGCGUCUUAUUUAAUAAGUCAAAACUUUCAACAACGGAUCUCUUGGUUCUGGCAUCGAUGAAGAACGCAGC
Molecule: unclassified non-coding RNA, 272 nt
Filed under: uncultured fungus
Lineage: Eukaryota; Fungi
Description: partial contains small subunit ribosomal RNA, internal transcribed spacer 1, and 5.8S ribosomal RNA
Rfam family: Eukaryotic small subunit ribosomal RNA (bases 1-73)
Source: RNAcentral